Schistocerca gregaria is the source of this 2763-nucleotide RNA transcript. RefSeq lists it as uncharacterized. NCBI's taxonomy places the organism in Eukaryota, Metazoa, Arthropoda, Insecta, Orthoptera, Acrididae. The transcript is spliced from 13 exons. The record is from RefSeq and is a predicted model, not a curated record.
UCUUGGAUUCCUUUGACCGUCCUCAAAGUCACGGCGAGAAUUCAGAAGGAGCGGGCGAUCUCGCGCCGGAGUACCAAGAUCUCUGUCGAAAGAUCACGAAACUAGAGAACGAACGUGAACAUCACAACGUUUCUCAAGACGAUCCCGCCAUGCCCUCUAGUCUAAAGAACAAGCAAUUUAAAAAAAUCAAGGCCAUCAUCGUGUUCGGAUAUCUUGGAGACGCCUAUCAAGGACUCCAACGAAAUCCAGGCGCCAACACCAUAGAACAGAGCCUUAUCGACGCAUUCGGCAAAGUGAGCGCCAUAGACCCUUGCAAUUUGGGCAGCUGGGAAAAAGUGGCGUGGAUGUGCGCCGCGAGAACCGACAAGGGCGUGUCGGCCGUCGCCAACAACGUUUCUCUGGCUAUGCGACAAGUUCCUGAAUUCGUCGAUCAAAUCAAUUCAGUGCUUCCUCAAGACAUUCGCGUCUUCGGCGCAAAAAAAGUCGGCAAGGGCUUUCGGUGUCGAACGCGCGUCGACGUGAGACGAUACAAAUACGUCUUGCCAAGCUUUUUGUUUGCGCCUUCAAAAAAACCCCCUUCGACAGACAAAUGGCACUUUGACGAAUACACGCGAAAUUACGUCAACCGAGUUCUGUCCAAAUUCUUGGGAGCUCGAAACUAUCACAAGUUCACCUCUCGGGUCCCGUAUAACAGUCCAAAAGCGGUGCGCGUAAUGAAAUCUCUGACGUGCUCCGAGCCAAUAACGAUAGGGCCAAUCGAGUGGGUCGAAAUAACCGUGAUUGGACAAAGCUUCAUGCUGAACCAAAUCAGAAAGAUGGUAGCCUUGACCAUCAACGUCGUUAGAGACGGCCAGAGCGAAGAUGUCAUCGACUUGUUUUUCACCGACUCACCGACUCCAGGAAUUCACAUGGCUCCGGCUGAAGGCCUCUAUUUAGACGAGUGCCUUUACGAUCAGUACAACAAGAACCGGCCCUCAGAUGCACAAAUUCUAUGGAUUGAGGAAAGAGCCGCUAUAGACGAGUUUCGAGACCGGCACGUUGUACCUAAUAUAUACAAAAAGGAGGUAGAAGACAAAAUCUUUUCAAAUUGGCUGGACACCAUAGACAAGUAUCCUUAUUCUUACGAAAGCUUCUUGCACGACAAGAACUCCCCCUCUAACCAAUCGAACGCUUCUUCGAUCAGCUCCGCUUCGUAGGGCUUUUUCGGGUCUCAAUAUGGCAGAUUCACAGCGGGUUUUUUUUACGCCUGUCAUCGUUCAUUAAAAAAAAUUAUCGCACAUUCUCUUUUUUUUUAAACCUAUCCUCGGGUUGUUCUGUAUCGCCGGGUCUGUUUUGAAACAUUUGGCCGUCAUGAACGACGAUGCAUCAACAGACGAUGUCCAAACUUGGGAUUUGACUCCGAAGAUCAUUCCCUUUCUAGAUCGCCACCAUGUUCUGCUUCUACUCAGCUUUCUUGAAGAAAACAGAAUCUACGAUGAAGGCGACAUCAAGCUGGCUAAGUACAACCUACUAAAAUCAUCAAACAUGAUCGAUUUGCUAAUAGAAAUUCACGCAUCUAUUUACGGCGACGACAAUAUACCACAGGAGAUGAAGGAAAAGCGCGAAAAGGUUCUACAGCAAAAUGAAGUUCUACAAAAUGCGGCCAUCCCACUGCUGAAGUUGAUUCAGGACAUCAACAUGGUUAAAUCCCUUCAUGAAAAUAAGCAAUACACCAUGUCGUACCUCGAGGAGUACUAUUCGAUUACCUCCGCUCAUCUCAGCGCGCUGUAUGAUUUGGCAAAAUUUAAAUACGAGUGCGGAGAUUACGCGACGGCUGCCGAUUAUUUGAUGCAUUUCCGAGAGCUAUCUUCUGAUCCAGAAUUACACCUUCACGCGCUAUGGGGAAGGCUUGCUGUUUACAUUUUAUUACAAUACUGGGAUGAUGCUCUCGUGACCGUCAAUCUUAUUCGAGAUACUAUUGACCACACGACUAACACGUCUCCUCUCGUCCAGCUUCAACAGCGGACUUGGCUUAUUCAUUGGUCGCUCUUUGUCUAUUUUAGCAACCUUUCCGUCUGUUCUCAGUGCAUUGAGCUGUUUUCUAACGAUCGAUAUUACGGCACUAUUCAGACCACGUGUCCUUACAUUCGACGCUAUCUCGCAGUUGCCUUGAUCAUUACCAAAAAACGUAAAACGAUCAAGGACAUCCAAAAAAUCGUCGAACACGGCUGGAACACCUAUUCCGAUCCAAUUACUCAGUUCACGGAAGCUCUGUUCGUUCAAUUUGACUUCGAACUCGCCGACCAAAUUUUGGUACAAUGUGAAAAAGUCUUCGAGCAGGACUAUUUCCUGUACCCGUUCAAGGAAGAAUUCAUGCAGAGUGCGCGGCUUAGCGCGCUCGAGAUCUACUUCAAAGUUCACAAUUGCUUCGUGACCAAGAAGCUUGGCAUGGACUUUGAAACGUCUGAGGAGUGGAUUGCGAGUUUGAUUCGAAACUUCAAGCUCAAUGCGAAGAUCGAUUCUCAGGCUGGGCAGGUAUUUAUCGGGCCUCGUCCGUCCGUCUACCAGCAGUUGAUUGACCGCACUCGCGAAUGGGCCAUGAGGUUUUUGAUGUUCAGUGGGAGUUUUGACAGAGGCAAAAAUCUGAAGAACAGAGAGCGUGGGAGGGAGACCUCUGCGAAGGAUCCCGUCAUCACGUGACCCUAUUAGAGUGUGAUUGAGAAAGAAUUGUGUUCAGGGCGAUAACGAAUAUUUCUCCGCAGAUAAAUCGUCCUCUCUUUUUGA